GUCCCGUUCGUCUAGUGGCCUAGGACACCGCCCUUUCACGGCGGUAACAGGGGUUCGAGUCCCCUACGGGAUGCCA
Molecule: transfer RNA, 76 nt
Filed under: Pseudoalteromonas sp.
Lineage: Bacteria; Pseudomonadati; Pseudomonadota; Gammaproteobacteria; Alteromonadales; Pseudoalteromonadaceae
Also listed under: 8 other names
Description: tRNA-Glu
Rfam family: tRNA
About the family: Transfer RNA (tRNA) molecules are approximately 80 nucleotides in length. Their secondary structure includes four short double-helical elements and three loops (D, anti-codon, and T loops). Further hydrogen bonds mediate the characteristic L-shaped molecular structure. tRNAs have two regions of fundamental functional importance: the anti-codon, which is responsible for specific mRNA codon recognition, and the 3' end, to which the tRNAs corresponding amino acid is attached (by aminoacyl-tRNA synthetases). tRNAs cope with the degeneracy of the genetic code in two manners: having more than one tRNA (with a specific anti-codon) for a particular amino acid; and 'wobble' base-pairing, i.e. permitting non-standard base-pairing at the 3rd anti-codon position.
Source: RNAcentral